UUCAACUAACAACUUUCACACAGAACACAGUGAACACACUGCUGAGAAAACAGGCUUCCUUAUCUGUGUGGGAUGAUUAGGUUGGAGCAUGUGCUUC
This is a long non-coding RNA of Amblyraja radiata (thorny skate), 97 nucleotides long. RefSeq lists it as uncharacterized. NCBI's taxonomy places the organism in Eukaryota, Metazoa, Chordata, Chondrichthyes, Rajiformes, Rajidae. The record is from RefSeq and is a predicted model, not a curated record. The transcript has 3 exons.